UACGGGGGGGGCAAGCGUUGUUCGGAAUUACUGGGCGUAAAGGGCUCGUAGGCGGCCAACUAAGUCAGACGUGAAAUCCCUCGGCUUAACCGGGGAACUGCGUCUGAUACUGGAUGGCUUGAGAUUGGGAGAGGGAUGCGGAAUUCCAGGUGUAGCGGUGAAAUGCGCAGAUAUCAGGAGGAACACCGAUGGCGAAGGCAGCUCGCUGGGACGGUACUGACGCUGAGACGCGAAAGCGUGGGGAGCGAACAGG
Molecule: ribosomal RNA, 253 nt
Filed under: uncultured bacterium
Lineage: Bacteria
Description: partial 16S ribosomal RNA
Rfam family: Bacterial small subunit ribosomal RNA
Source: RNAcentral